This is a long non-coding RNA of Felis catus (domestic cat), 646 nucleotides long. RefSeq lists it as uncharacterized. The transcript is spliced from 3 exons. The record is from RefSeq and is a predicted model, not a curated record. Lineage: Eukaryota; Metazoa; Chordata; Mammalia; Carnivora; Felidae.
UUUAUGGGUGAGAAAAAAUAUAUAUAUUGAGAUGGUGAAUACAUUGAUCUAUACAACUGUCAAACUAUGGAACUGUACGCUUGGUAAAUUUUAUUAUACGUACUGUAAUUAAAAAUAAUUAGUCUGUUUUAAAACAAAAAUCUGACAAUUGACACUUUCCUUCUAAAUUCCAUUGUGGACCCUCUGCUUUCAGGUACCCAAACCAUUUGCUUCAAGGUAAUCUCACAGAGGAAAAAAACAAAACAAAACAAAACAAGCACCACCACCACCAUCAACAAAAAACAACUCAUUGGAUAACACACGUUUGUCAGAAUAUUCUGCAUCAUACUGAAAAUCUCUGACCUGAAAAGAGUUUGAAAGUUGCGAUUGCUGUUCUUACAACAACAAAAACCUGAACCUUCACUUUUCUUGAAGCUAUUGUGGCACUUGGAUUGUGAAGCCAACUGCAAUGCCCAAGUCCAAAGAGAUAGACACAUCCAGAGGAGCCACAGCAAGGUCUGGAGAUGUGGAACGGAGCCAUGGAUUUUCUUUCACCAACUCAUAUAUCAAGAAGUGCUUUUUUAAGCUGCUCAAGGAAAGGUGCACUGGAAAAUGUAUGUCUUUUAAAGUAAGUAAUACCUUAAAAACAUUUUGAGAACAAGCUAAA